GACGAACGCUGGCGGCGUGCCUAACACAUGCAAGUCGAACGGAGUUCCUUCGGGGACUUAGUGGCGAACGGGUGAGUAACGCGUGAAGAACCUGCCUUUCAGUGGGGGACAACAGUUGGAAACGACUGCUAAUACCGCAUAAUGUUAUUUGAGGGCAUCCUCGGAUAACCAAAGAUUUAUUGCUGAAAGAUGGCUUCGCGUCUGAUUAGCUAGAUGGCGGGGUAACGGCCCACCAUGGCGACGAUCAGUAGCCGGUCUGAGAGGAUGAACGGCCACAUUGGGACUGAGAUACGGCCCAGACUCCUACGGGAGGCAGCAGUGGGGAAUAGUUGGGCAAUGGGCGAAAGCCUGACCCAGCAACGCCGCGUGAAGGAAGAAGGCCCUCGGGUUGUAAACUUCUUUACCAGGGACGAAUAAUGACGGUACCUGGAAGAAAAAGCAAACGGCUAAACUACGUG
This 458-nucleotide ribosomal RNA is filed under the name uncultured bacterium. RNAcentral describes it as "bacterial SSU rRNA". It matches the Rfam family "Bacterial small subunit ribosomal RNA", at positions 28 to 507 of the family's 1533-position model. The record is from RNAcentral.